RNAcentral lists this ribosomal RNA (469 nucleotides) under uncultured bacterium. RNAcentral's name for it is "bacterial SSU rRNA". It matches the Rfam family "Bacterial small subunit ribosomal RNA", at positions 23 to 507 of the family's 1533-position model. The record is from RNAcentral.
CUCAGGACGAACGCUGGCGGCGUGCUUAACACAUGCAAGUCGAACGGAGUUGAGGAGCUUGCUCCUUAACUUAGUGGCGAACGGGUGAGUAACGCGUGAGCAACCUGCCUACAAAAGAGGGAUAACGCAUGGAAACGUGCGCUAAUACCGCAUGAAGCAACGAUGUCGCAUGGCAAUGUUGUUAAAGGGGAACCGAUUGUAGAUGGGCUCGCGUAUGAUUAGGUAGUUGGUGAGGUAACGGCUCACCAAGCCGACGAUCAUUAGCCGAACUGAGAGGUUGAACGGCCACAUUGGAACUGAGAUACGGCCCAGACUCCUACGGGAGGCAGCAGUGGGGAAUAUUGGGCAAUGGACGCAAGUCUGACCCAGCAACGCCGCGUGAAGGAAGAAGGCUUUCGGGUUGUAAACUUCUUUUAUCAGGGAAGAGUAGAAGACGGUACCUGAUGGAUAAGCCACGGCUAACUACGUG